AUCACCUAGAGACCUUAUUAAAAUGUAGAUUCCGAACAGGAGGUUGGGGUGGGGUCUGAGACUCUACAUUUCUAAUAAGUUCCCAGGUGGUACAGA
This 96-nucleotide microRNA precursor is filed under the name Loxodonta africana (African savanna elephant). Its description in RNAcentral is "mir-544 microRNA precursor family". It matches the Rfam family "mir-544 microRNA precursor family". The record is from Rfam by way of RNAcentral. Lineage: Eukaryota; Metazoa; Chordata; Mammalia; Proboscidea; Elephantidae.